This 376-nucleotide ribosomal RNA is filed under the name uncultured bacterium. RNAcentral describes it as "bacterial SSU rRNA". It matches the Rfam family "Bacterial small subunit ribosomal RNA", at positions 29 to 418 of the family's 1533-position model. The record is from RNAcentral.
AACGAACGCUGGCGGCAUGCCUAACACAUGCAAGUCGAACGGGAUCCUGACUUCGGUUGGGUGAGAGUGGCGGACGGGUGAGUAACGCGUGGGAACCUGCCCAGUGGUGGGGGAUAACUGCGGGAAACUGCAGCUAAUACCGCAUGAGCCCGAGAGGGGGAAAGAUUUUAUCGCCCAUUGGAGGGGCCCGCGUUCGAUUAGGUAGUUGGUGAGGUAACGGCUCACCAAGCCUUCGAUCGAUAGCUGGUCUGAGAGGAUGAUCAGCCACACUGGGACUGAGAUACGGCCCAGACUCCUACGGGAGGCAGCAGUGGGGAAUAUUGGACAAUGGGGGGCAACCCUGAUCCAGCAAUGCCGCGUGAGUGAUGAAGGCCUC